UCUAGAAGAAAAAAGGUAAUACUUUUUAAGGAAACCUUCAUCUUUUGGCGGCCUGAUUUCUUCUUAGAGGAACUCGUCUCGUAAUCGACAAUCCUCGAUAUUUUUAACUUUUUCCUUUUCUCUUAUACCGCCGUCUCUAGAAUCAAUUCAUUUUUCAUAAAAAAAGAAUUUUAAUAAGUCAGGUAAAGGUGAGGACUAUGAAAAAGAGAAGAUUAGUUACUCAUAAACACAAUUUUUGAAUUGUUUAUUAACAUCUUCAUGAAACAGGAUUUAAUAGUAAUUUUUUUAAUAGUAUUUUAUAAUGAACCGGUAAAAUUAGGUGU
Molecule: ribosomal RNA, 323 nt
Filed under: Conothele sp. MYG542
Lineage: Eukaryota; Metazoa; Arthropoda; Arachnida; Araneae; Ctenizidae
Description: partial 12S ribosomal RNA
Source: RNAcentral